AUUCAUUAUUAUUUGUGGGAUUACCAAUUUUUGUGGUUUUUGUGGUUAUAAGUCAUACCCCAAUUCAAAUAAUCAACAAAUAAUGAAUUUUCUAUAGGCUUGAAUGCAGACUUCACUUGAAUGCAGACUUCAGCAAAGCAAAGCAAAACAUCAAGUAACCAACAAAAUAUUGUUUUUCCUCAAUCCACACAUUAAACUGUGACCUUAUAUCAAACUGAGACAAAGAGGAGCAGUCAAUAAGAUGGUAAUAACAUAAAUUUGCUGAGUCAUAAUUAAACAAACUGAUACCAAUUCAGUUUUUGAUUCCUGUCAGUACUUCAUGGAAAUCAAAAUGUUUUGUCUCAGGAAAUUUUAACAUGUGUCAUUUAGGCGUUACUGGUGAGUCUAAUGAAGACAAAACAGAUGCAUAAUUAUAAACAAGGUAUCUUGGAUGAGUUUUUUCAGGAUGAUGGAAGAUAUAUGUCACAGUUUUCAAUUAAUGGAACCUACAAAUCUCAUGCACCUGAAGUAACUGCCAGAGUAAAAAUUAACUAGUGUGAAGAGUUCAUGUAUUCAACCAAAUUUUUGCAAUAUUU
This 575-nucleotide long non-coding RNA is filed under the name Mytilus galloprovincialis (Mediterranean mussel). The record is from RNAcentral. Lineage: Eukaryota; Metazoa; Mollusca; Bivalvia; Mytilida; Mytilidae.